CCCUUAGAUGAUUUGGGCUGCACGCGCGCUACACUGACCCUAACAAUGAGCAACUGUCUGGCCUGAGAUGGCUGGGUAGCCUUUUCAACCCAUGUCAUGAUUGGGCUAGAUUUUUGUAAGUCUUGAUCUCUAACGAGGAAUCCCUAGUAUGCGUGAAUCAUCAAUCCAUGCAGAUUAUGUCCCUGCCCUUUGUACACACCGCCCGUCGCUCCUACUGAUUGGGUGAUCCGGUGAGCUGUUCGGCCAUAGCAAUGUUUCUUGAGUAGGGCAAUGAAUGUUUCGCAAACCUUGCCACUUAGAGGAAGGAGAAGUCGUAACA
Molecule: ribosomal RNA, 319 nt
Filed under: uncultured eukaryote
Lineage: Eukaryota
Description: partial 18S ribosomal RNA
Rfam family: Eukaryotic small subunit ribosomal RNA
Source: RNAcentral